AGUGAACGCUGGCGGUAGGCCUAACACAUGCAAGUCGAACGGCAGCACAGUAAGAGCUUGCUCUUACGGGUGGCGAGUGGCGGACGGGUGAGGAAUACAUCGGAAUCUACUUUUUCGUGGGGGAUAACGUAGGGAAACUUACGCUAAUACCGCAUACGACCUACGGGUGAAAGCAGGGGAUCUUCGGACCUUGCGCGAUUGAAUGAGCCGAUGUCGGAUUAGCUAGUUGGCGGGGUAAAGGCCCACCAAGGCGACGAUCCGUAGCUGGUCUGAGAGGAUGAUCAGCCACACUGGAACUGAGACACGGUCCAGACUCCUACGGGAGGCAGCAGUGGGGAAUAUUGGACAAUGGGCGCAAGCCUGAUCCAGCCAUACCGCGUGGGUGAAGAAGGCCUUCGGGUUGCAAAGCCCUUUUGUUGGGAAAGAAAAGCAGCAGGUUAAUACCCCGCUGUUCUGACGGUGCCCAAAGAAUAAGCACCGGCUAACUUCGUG
Molecule: ribosomal RNA, 492 nt
Filed under: uncultured bacterium
Lineage: Bacteria
Description: partial 16S ribosomal RNA
Rfam family: Bacterial small subunit ribosomal RNA
Source: RNAcentral